RNAcentral lists this ribosomal RNA (482 nucleotides) under uncultured bacterium. RNAcentral describes it as "partial 16S ribosomal RNA". It matches the Rfam family "Bacterial small subunit ribosomal RNA", at positions 31 to 507 of the family's 1533-position model. The record is from RNAcentral.
AGGGAAGGCUGGCGGCAUGAUUUACACAUGCAAGUCGAACGGUAACAGGCCGCAAGGUGCUGACGAGUGGCGAACGGGUGAGUAAUGCAUCGGAACGUGCCCAGUCGUGGGGGAUAACUACUCGAAAGAGUAGCUAAUACCGCAUACGAUCUAUGGAUGAAAGCGGGGGACCGUAAGGCCUCGCGCGAUUGGAGCGGCCGAUGUCAGAUUAGGUAGUUGGUGGGGUAAAGGCUCACCAAGCCAACGAUCUGUAGCUGGUCUGAGAGGACGACCAGCCACACUGGGACUGAGACACGGCCCAGACUCCUACGGGAGGCAGCAGUGGGGAAUUUUGGACAAUGGGCGCAAGCCUGAUCCAGCAAUGCCGCGUGCAGGAAGAAGGCCUUCGGGUUGUAAACUGCUUUUGUACGGAACGAAACGGCUCUGGUUAAUACCCGGGGCUAAUGACGGUACCGUAAGAAUAAGCACCGGCUAACUACGUG